This is a long non-coding RNA of Rhipicephalus microplus (southern cattle tick), 231 nucleotides long. The record is from RefSeq and is a predicted model, not a curated record. Lineage: Eukaryota; Metazoa; Arthropoda; Arachnida; Ixodida; Ixodidae.
CAGGGCAAGGCGCGUCAUGGUGGCCAGCCUGGUGGACCACAAGAGGUCAGCAACGGCAGCAGCAUUUCUGGAAAUGGCUGUUAAGGAAACAACAAACAUGUUCACCACUUUUUGUUCACCAAGUAUGCAAGGAUACGAUCGGGGAACAUCACCAGCACUUUUCCCUUGUUCGUGGUCCAUUCGGUGAGCUUGAGAUACCUAGGUAAUAAAGAUUAUACUUCCUCAAUGCUA